GGUAUGGCUGUUCGCCAUUUAAAGUGGUACGCGAGCUGGGUUUAGAACGUCGUGAGACAGUUCGGUCCCUAUCUGCCGUGGGCGCUGGAGAAUUGAGGGGGGCUGCUCCUAGUACGAGAGGACCGGAGUGGACGCAUCACUGGUGUUCGGGUUGUCAUGCCAAUGGCACUGCCCGGUAGCUAAAUGCGGAAGAGAUAAGUGCUGAAAGCAUCUAAGCACGAAACUUGCCCCGAGAUGAGUUCUCCCUGAGACUWUAAGUCUCCUGAAGGAACGUUAAAGACGAUGACGUUGAUAGGCCGGGUGUGUAAGCGCAGCGAUGCGUUGAGCUAACCGGUACUAAUGAACCGUGAGGCUUAACCUUACAACGCCGAAG
Molecule: ribosomal RNA, 373 nt
Filed under: Klebsiella pneumoniae
Lineage: Bacteria; Pseudomonadati; Pseudomonadota; Gammaproteobacteria; Enterobacterales; Enterobacteriaceae
Description: bacterial LSU rRNA
Rfam family: Bacterial large subunit ribosomal RNA
Source: RNAcentral